Molecule: long non-coding RNA, 804 nt
Organism: Salmo salar (Atlantic salmon)
Lineage: Eukaryota; Metazoa; Chordata; Actinopteri; Salmoniformes; Salmonidae
Source: RefSeq, a predicted model, not a curated record
GUUUGGGGCGUGGAUUGGUUUCUCCACUGUCGCUCUGGAGGCACUACCAGAAUACCAGACGAGCCCUGUUUCAAGGUGAGUUGGAGCGUGAAGUUGUACAAGAGCCGCAGAAUCAUGCGCAAUAACAGUGAUAGAGGAACUUGCAUAUUCGAUCCAGGACCUAUGGCAAACAUAAUUGCACUCACUAACACGAGCGGAGAGUUAGGAUUCCAAAUAUGUCUUACAUCUUCAUGGGACUUGAUGCAAAAACAAUGAGGCGACUUGCAGGUGGAACCUGCGCGCGCGCCUACUCUUGACGCAGGCGAACAGCAGCAACAAGGUGGAUGUCAAGAGGUCCCCGGUCCGAAUGGUGCCUGAAGACUCCAUGAACUGAUGACCUCUUUCUAAAUAGUUGUUCACAUGUGUCACGAAGUCUACCGAAGGUGGCUCCUCUCCCUGUUCGGGCGGCGCUCGGCGGUCGUCAUCGCCGACCUAGUAGCUGCCACCGAACCUCUUUUCCUUUUCGUUUGGUUUUGUCUGGUUUUGUGUUACACCUGUUUUGAGUUAGGUAAUUAGUGGGGUAUUUAGUCUUGCUGUCUGGGUUUAGGUUUUUGUGCGGGAUUGUUCGUUGUUUUCUUGUCGCGGGGUUUAUGUGGGGUAUUUUUGUUGUCUACUGUCUUUUUGAUGAAGAUGCUUAUUUUGUUGCUGGACUGUUUUCCAACCCUGUUGAGGUGGACAUUGUUAUUUUUGUCUGGUUCAUUUUUCCUUGUUCAUUUCCCUAUUUUGGAUUUGUUGGAAUUAGGAAAAUAAACACCCUACUCCGUA